UACCAGCACCCCGAGUGGUCGGGACGUUUAUUGGGCCUAAAGCAUCCGUAGCCGGUUCUACAAGUCUUCCGUUAAAUCCAGCUGCUUAACAGAUGGGCUGCGGAAGAUACUAUGGAGCUAGGAGGCGGGAGAGGCAAGCGGUACUCGAUGGGUAGGGGUAAAAUCCGUUGAUCCAUUGAAGACCACCAGUGGCGAAGGCGGCUUGCCAGAACGCGCUCGACGGUGAGGGGUGAAAGCUGGGGGAGCAAACCGG
RNAcentral lists this ribosomal RNA (253 nucleotides) under uncultured bacterium. RNAcentral's name for it is "partial 16S ribosomal RNA". It matches the Rfam family "Archaeal small subunit ribosomal RNA", at positions 474 to 727 of the family's 1478-position model. The record is from RNAcentral.